RNAcentral lists this ribosomal RNA (253 nucleotides) under uncultured bacterium. RNAcentral describes it as "partial 16S ribosomal RNA". It matches the Rfam family "Bacterial small subunit ribosomal RNA", at positions 524 to 776 of the family's 1533-position model. The record is from RNAcentral.
GACAGAGGGUGCAAACGUUGUUCGGAAUUACUGGGCGUAAAGCGCGUGUAGGCGGCUAUGUAAGUCGGGCGUGAAAUCCCACGGCUCAACCGUGGAAGUGCACCCGAAACUGCGUAGCUAGAGUCCUGGAGAGGAAGGUGGAAUGCUUGGUGUAGAGGUGAAAUUCGUAGAUAUCGAGAGGAACACCGGUGGCGAAGGCGGCCAACUGGACGAAUACUGACGCUGAGACACGAAAGCGUGGGGAGCAAACAGG